This 906-nucleotide ribosomal RNA is filed under the name uncultured Peredibacter sp. Its description in RNAcentral is "bacterial SSU rRNA". It matches the Rfam family "Bacterial small subunit ribosomal RNA", at positions 56 to 942 of the family's 1533-position model. The record is from RNAcentral. Lineage: Bacteria; Pseudomonadati; Bdellovibrionota; Bacteriovoracia; Bacteriovoracales; Bacteriovoracaceae.
UGCAGUCGGACGUGAAAGUGGGCAACCAUGAGUAAAGUGGCGCACGGGUGAGUAAUACUUAGGUGAUCUGCCAAUUAAUGGGGGAUAACAGGGAGAAAUUCUUGCUAAUACCGCAUAAGCUCGACAAACCUGGGAGUAGUCGAGGAAAGUUGACCUCUAUUUAUAAGUUAACGUUGAUUGAAGAGCCUGAGCGACAUUAGCUAGUUGGUGGGGUAAAGGCCUACCAAGGCGACAAUGUCUAGCUGGUCUGAGAGGAUGGCCAGCCACACUGGAACUGAGACACGGUCCAGACUCCUACGGGAGGCAGCAGUAGGGAAUCUUGCGCAAUGGGGGAAACCCUGACGCAGCAAUACCGCGUGAGUGAGGAAGGUCUUCGGAUUGUAAAGCUCUGUCGUUGGGGAAAAAUGGUUAGUGUUAUAAUACAGCAUUAAUUUGAUGGUACCCAAGAAGGAAACACCGGCUAACUUCGUGCCAGCAGCCGCGGUAAUACGAAGGGUGUAAGCGUUGUUCGGAUUUAUUGGGCGUAAAGCGCGCGCAGGUGGAUUUUUAAGUCAGAUGUGAAAUCUCGGGGCUCAACCCCGAACGUGCGUCUGAAACUGGAGAUCUAGAAUAUUACAGGGGGUAGAGGAAUUUCACAUGUAGGGGUAAAAUCCGUAGAGAUGUGAAGGAACACCAGAGGCGAAGGCGUCUACCUGGGUAACUAUUGACACUGAGGCGCGAAAGCGUGGGGAGCAAACAGGAUUAGAUACCCUGGUAGUCCACGCCGUAAACGAUGAGAACUAGUUUUUGGAGGUAUUGACUCCUUCGGAAACGCAGCUAACGCAUUAAGUUCUCCGCCUGGGGAGUACGGUCGCAAGACUAAAACUCAACAAAUUGACGGGGGCCCGCACAAGCGGUGGAUUAUGU